ACGUAACUUAGUCUAAAGUUCAGGGGCAGGAUCGAGCCAAACAGAGAAUCGAACAAAGAUGGAUAGAUGGAUGGCUGGAUCAGAUGGAGGUUUUCAGAGAUACUUAACGCAAACAUAACUAAUGUUGAAUUAUGCAUAUA
This is a long non-coding RNA of Drosophila mauritiana, 140 nucleotides long. RefSeq lists it as uncharacterized. The record is from RefSeq and is a predicted model, not a curated record. The transcript is spliced from 2 exons. NCBI's taxonomy places the organism in Eukaryota, Metazoa, Arthropoda, Insecta, Diptera, Drosophilidae.